Molecule: ribosomal RNA, 274 nt
Filed under: uncultured bacterium
Lineage: Bacteria
Description: partial 16S ribosomal RNA
Rfam family: Bacterial small subunit ribosomal RNA
Source: RNAcentral
AUACGGAGGGUGCAAGCGUUACUCGGAAUCACUGGGCGUAAAGCGCGCGCAGGCGGUCUUUUAAGUUGGAUGUGAAAGCCUACGGCUCAACCGUAGAACUGCAUCCAAAACUAUUAGACUAGAGUGUGGGAGAGGAAGAUGGAAUUAGUUGUGUAGGGGUAAAAUCCGUAGAGAUAACUAGGAAUACCAAAAGCGAAGGCAAUCUUCUGGAACACUACUGACGCUGAGGCGCGAAAGCGUGGGGAGCAAACAGUAUUAGAAACCCCAGUAGUCC